Molecule: ribosomal RNA, 402 nt
Filed under: uncultured bacterium
Lineage: Bacteria
Description: bacterial SSU rRNA
Rfam family: Bacterial small subunit ribosomal RNA
Source: RNAcentral
GACGAACGCUGGCGGCGUGCUUAACACAUGCAAGUGGGGCGACGAACCAGGCUUCGGCCUGGGGCAAAGCCGCGGACGGGUGAGUAACACGUGGGUAACCUGCCCCGAAGACCGGGACAACCCGGGGAAACCCGGGCUAAUACCGGAUGUGGUCAUCGUUCAUAAGGACGAUGAGCAAAGGAAGCUUCGGCCUCCGCUUCGGGAUGGGCCCGCGGCCCAUUAGCUUGUUGGUGAGGUAACGGCUCACCAAGGCUUCAUGGGUAGCUGGUCUGAGAGGACGAUCAGCCACACUGGGACUGAGACACGGCCCAGACUCCUACGGGAGGCAGCAGUGGGGAAUCUUGCGCAAUGCGCGAAAGCGUGACGCAGCAACGCCGCGUGGGGGAAGACGGCCUUCGGUUC